RNAcentral lists this non-coding RNA (203 nucleotides) under Chromera velia. The record is from RNAcentral. Lineage: Eukaryota; Chromeraceae.
AUUGAGAUCGGUACACUGACUGCAUAGCAUUGUGUGAACGACUGUGAAUUAGGCUUCGAUUGGGUGACUGACUUUUGAUUCCAUCAAACGUCUGUUCGUUGGCAUGAACAGUCAGUGGAAGAGAAGUGGAAGAGCUGUCAGUCAUUUUUUGCAAAGAGAGAGGGGAGAUAGAGAGAGUCGCCCUCUUUCGUUUUGGGACUUGU